This 250-nucleotide ribosomal RNA is filed under the name uncultured bacterium. Its description in RNAcentral is "partial 16S ribosomal RNA". It matches the Rfam family "Bacterial small subunit ribosomal RNA", at positions 524 to 773 of the family's 1533-position model. The record is from RNAcentral.
UACGGAGGGUGCAAGCAUUAAUCGGAUUUAUUGGGCGUAAAGGGCGCGUAGGUGGUAAGGAAAGUCAGAUGUGAAAUCCCGGGGCUCAACCUCGGAACAGCAUUUGAAACUUCUUUUCUAGAGGAUAGGCGGAGAAAACGGAAUUCCACAAGUAGCGGUGAAAUGCGUAGAUAUGUGGAAGAACACCGGUGGCGAAGGCGGUUUUCUAGCUUAUUCCUGACACUGAGGCGCGAAAGCAAGGGGAUCAAAC